RNAcentral lists this transfer RNA (73 nucleotides) under Stegodyphus mimosarum. It matches the Rfam family "tRNA". From Rfam's summary of the family: Transfer RNA (tRNA) molecules are approximately 80 nucleotides in length. Their secondary structure includes four short double-helical elements and three loops (D, anti-codon, and T loops). The record is from Rfam by way of RNAcentral. Lineage: Eukaryota; Metazoa; Arthropoda; Arachnida; Araneae; Eresidae.
GCCUUCAUGGUGUAGUGGUCAGCACGCUCGACGCGUAACCGAGAGAUCCGUGGUUCGAUUCCCGGCGAAGGCG